UACGGAGGGUGCGAGCGUUGUCCGGAUUUAUUGGGUUUAAAGGGUGCGUAGGCGGCCAAAUAAGUCUGGGGUGAAAGCCCGUUGCUCAACAACGGAACUGCCCUGGAUACUGUAUGGCUUGAGGACAGACGAGGUUGGCGGAAUGGAGGGUGUAGCGGUGAAAUGCAUAGAUACCCUCCAGAACCCCGAUUGCGAAGGCAGCUGACUAGACUGUAUCUGACGCUGAGGCACGAAAGCGUGGGGAGCGAACAGG
Molecule: ribosomal RNA, 253 nt
Filed under: uncultured bacterium
Lineage: Bacteria
Description: partial 16S ribosomal RNA
Rfam family: Bacterial small subunit ribosomal RNA
Source: RNAcentral